Molecule: non-coding RNA, 321 nt
Organism: Pelobates cultripes (western spadefoot toad)
Lineage: Eukaryota; Metazoa; Chordata; Amphibia; Anura; Pelobatidae
Source: the annotation of a GenBank genome assembly
GGAACACUAUAGUCACCUAAAUUACUUUAGCUAAAUAAAGCAGUUUUAGUGUAUGGAUCAUUCCCCUGCAAUUUCUCUGCUCAAUUCACUGUCAUUUAGGAGUUAAAUCACUUUGUUUCUGUUUAUGCAGCCCUAGCCACACCUCCCCUGGCUAUGAUUGACAGGGCCUGCAUGAAAAAAAAAAAACUGGUUUCACUUUCAAACAGAUUUAAUUUACCUUAAAUAAUUGUAUCUCAAUCUCUAAAUUGAACUUUAAUCACAUACAGGAGGCUCUUGCAGGGUCUAGCAAGCUAUUAACAUAGCAGGGGAUAAGAAAAUCUU